RNAcentral lists this ribosomal RNA (519 nucleotides) under Bacillus safensis. RNAcentral's name for it is "bacterial SSU rRNA". It matches the Rfam family "Bacterial small subunit ribosomal RNA", at positions 1 to 503 of the family's 1533-position model. The record is from RNAcentral. Lineage: Bacteria; Bacillati; Bacillota; Bacilli; Caryophanales; Bacillaceae.
UUGGGAAGAGAAAUUGAUCCUGGCUCAGGACGAACGCUGGCGGCGUGCCUAAUACAUGCAAGUCGAGCGGACAGAAGGGAGCUUGCUCCCGGAUGUUAGCGGCGGACGGGUGAGUAACACGUGGGUAACCUGCCUGUAAGACUGGGAUAACUCCGGGAAACCGGAGCUAAUACCGGAUAGUUCCUUGAACCGCAUGGUUCAAGGAUGAAAGACGGUUUCGGCUGUCACUUACAGAUGGACCCGCGGCGCAUUAGCUAGUUGGUGGGGUAAUGGCUCACCAAGGCGACGAUGCGUAGCCGACCUGAGAGGGUGAUCGGCCACACUGGGACUGAGACACGGCCCAGACUCCUACGGGAGGCAGCAGUAGGGAAUCUUCCGCAAUGGACGAAAGUCUGACGGAGCAACGCCGCGUGAGUGAUGAAGGUUUUCGGAUCGUAAAGCUCUGUUGUUAGGGAAGAACAAAUUCGAGAGUAACUGCUCGCACCUUGACGGUACCUAACCAGAAACCAGGGCUAUCCU